Molecule: ribosomal RNA, 593 nt
Filed under: Protopulvinaria pyriformis
Lineage: Eukaryota; Metazoa; Arthropoda; Insecta; Hemiptera; Coccidae
Description: eukaryotic LSU rRNA
Rfam family: Eukaryotic large subunit ribosomal RNA
Source: RNAcentral
CGCGAUUCGUUCGCCGUCGAUACCGAAAGUGCGCGCCUCAAGCUCGUUGUCGCGGACGUUUCGGCGUUCGCGCGACGAUGGCGCGUUUCUCACGUUUCGACGCGGACGGUACGUUUGCGCGCGGGUAUUCGAGGCGGUCCCUCGUCCGGCGUCUCGUACGUCGGACGGCACUCGCCUCGACGCCGGUCAGCGACGAAUCUUCGGGCCUCUUUCCGACCCGUCUUGAAACACGGACCAAGGAGUCUAGGGUGCGCGCGAGUCGCGGGGUAUCCGAGGAGUAAUGACCCUCGUCAAGAUACGAAACCCGUUCACGUACAUUGUACGAAGGCGUAAUGAAAGUGAAAGAGGGCGCCUCGCGCGUCCUCGGGGGAAGACGGUGCGCUGCGAAAUACGUUUCGCGAUCGUAUAUGUAUCGCGACCAGCCGCCCGCAUUCCCAGGGCGUCCCGCCUGUGCGACGGCGAUCGGGGCUCGCUCCGGUCGUCGACGAACUGGGGCGCACCUAUAGCGUGCACCCUGGUACCCGAAAGAUGGUGAACUAUGCCCGGCCAGGAUGAAGUCAGGGGAAACCCUGAUGGAGGUCCGCAGCGAUUCU